Molecule: ribosomal RNA, 250 nt
Filed under: uncultured bacterium
Lineage: Bacteria
Description: partial 16S ribosomal RNA
Rfam family: Bacterial small subunit ribosomal RNA
Source: RNAcentral
UACGAAGGGGGCUAGCGUUGCUCGGAAUCACUGGGCGUAAAGGGUGCGUAGGCGGAUCUUUAAGUCAGGGGUGAAAUCCCGGGGCUCAACCCCGGAACUGCCCUUGAUACUGGAGAUCUUGAGUUCGGGAGAGGUGAGUGGAACUGCGAGUGUAGAGGUGAAAUUCGUAGAUAUUCGCAAGAACACCAGUGGCGAAGGCGGCUCACUGGCCCGAUACUGACGCUGAGGCACGAAAGCGUGGGGAGCAAAC